UAUAAAUAUUUAACUUUGAAACUGCGAAUGGCUCAUUAUAUCAGUUAUAGUUUAUUUGAUGAAAAGUACUACUUGGAUAACCGUAGUAAUUCUAGAGCUAAUACAUGAUAAAAUCCUCGACUUUGAAGAGGUGUAUUUAUUAGAAUGAAACCAAUAGACUUCGGUCUGUUUGUGAGUAAUAAUAACUAAUCGUAUCGCAUGCUUAGGUAGCGAUAUGUCUUUCAAGUUUCUGCCCUAUCAGCUUUGGAUGGUAGUGUAUUGGACUACCAUGGCAGUAACGGGUAACGAAGAAUUUGGGUUCGAUUUCGGAGAGGGAGCCUGAGAGAUGGCUACCACAUCCAAGGAAGGCAGCAGGCGCGUAAAUUACCCAAUCCUGACAUAGGGAGGUAGUGACAAUAAAUCACAAUGCGGAACUAUUAGUUUUGCAAUUGGAUUGAGAACAAUGUACAAAUGUUAUCGAUAAACAAUUGGAGGGCAAGUCUGGUGCCAGCAGCCGCG
This 498-nucleotide ribosomal RNA is filed under the name Blastocystis sp. RNAcentral's name for it is "SSU rRNA". It matches the Rfam family "Eukaryotic small subunit ribosomal RNA", at positions 66 to 578 of the family's 1831-position model. Lineage: Eukaryota; Bigyra; Opalinata; Blastocystidae. The record is from RNAcentral.